GCAUUGCAGGAAGUACACAGUACGGAGUAGAGACAGCAAGAACGAUGGUGGAUGUGAAGAUGGCAAAAGUUCAUCAAGUUUUAGAGAUCAUAUUUGGCUCAACUAUGAUUUCACUGCUGAUUCUCAUGGCCAUUGGAUCAAUCAAAGUUAAAGCACAGGCAGGGCAUCUUCCUCCUGAGGAAGUGCAAGCUCUGCAAGAAGUGGCAACCCAAUUGGGCAAAAAAGAUUGGAACUUUAAAGUAGAUCCUUGCAGUAAUGACACAAGUUGGAAGACACCACUAUCCAAGGAUAGGCCUUACUAUGCCAAUAUUGUAACUUGCAAUUGUUCUUAUAUUGGGGGUGAAUGUCAUGUUGAAAGCAUAUUACUCAAAGCGCAAGAUCUUGCUGGUGUGCUGCCCCGUGCCAUUAUGAAACUACCUUUUCUCAAGAAACUUGAUCUUACUCGGAAUUACCUCAGUGGUAACAUACCAAGUGAAUGGGCUUCUACAAAGUUGGAAUUUCUGUCUGUUUCCAUUAACCGCUUAAUGGGAAAAAUCCCAAGCUAUCUAGGAAAUAUUACCACGCUUAGAGCCUUGGGCAUUGAGAACAAUAUGUUUUCAGGAACUGUUCCCCCUCAGCUUGGAAACUUGGUUAACUUGGAGAUUCUCUAUCUUGGUGCAAACAAUCUGACUGGAAAUUUACCCCUGGCUCUUAGUAAUUUGACCAAACUAACAGAGCUUAGGAUAAGCAGCAACAACUUCAUUGGAAAAAUACCCAGUUUUAUUCAAAGCUGGAAAAAUCUUCAGAAAUUAGAGAUUCAAGCUAGUGGUUUUGAAGGGCCUAUUCCUUCUAGCAUUUCUACUUUGAACAAUUUAACUGAACUAAGGAUUAGCGACUUACAUGGAGAAGGUUCAGAGUUUCCACACUUAGAGAACAUGACAGGGAUUGAGUCAUUGUAAGUCAUUAUUAACAUUGAUGGAUGCUUUAAAAUCAGAAUAUUUCUGCUGCACUAGAUGAGUUUAUGUGAAGAUAAUUAUAUUGCAGGAUGCUGAGGAAUUGCAAUAUAUCUGGUUCUAUCCCACUAUAUAUAGCAGCAAGGCCAUCACUGAAAAAAUUAGAUCUCAGUUUCAACAGAUUGGGAGGAAAUCUUUCAAGAGAUCUAGAAGGUCUACUAAAAUUGGAGAACAUGUAUUUGACAAGUAACUUGCUCUCUGGACCCAUCCCAGACUGGCUCAAGAAUGGAGAUACUCGUGCUGAAAUAGACCUUUCUCGCAAUAAUUUUACAGAAAGCUCAUUGCCAACUACUUGUCGAGAUACGUUGAAUUUGUUUAAAAGCACUUCUGGAGGGAAUAACUCGUAAGAUUUUUUUUUACUGAACUUCUGAAGGUAAAAUUAGUUCACUUUUAUCUUUUUGCCUUUUAAUAUAAGCAGUAAUUCUCUGAUACUAUUUCCAGAAAAGCUGUUGUCGAGUGCCUGAAAAACUUUGCUUGUUCAGAAGACAGAUAUUCAUUGCAUAUAAAUUGUGGUGGAGGUGCAACCAACAUUGGAGACAUCAGCUACGUAGCAGAUGAAGAGUCAGGAGCUGCAGCAAAAUAUGUUCCCACUAGGGAGAGUUGGGAAAUUAGUAAUACAGGACAUUUCUGGGAUAAAAAUAGAUCUGCAAGUGACUAUAUAGCACAAAAUUUUUCCAUCCUUAGGAUGAAGAAUUCUGAAUUGUACACAAGAGCACGUCU
Molecule: unclassified non-coding RNA, 1712 nt
Filed under: Hevea brasiliensis (rubber tree)
Lineage: Eukaryota; Viridiplantae; Streptophyta; Magnoliopsida; Malpighiales; Euphorbiaceae
Source: RNAcentral